UGAGCAACCUGCCCUCAGCUUUGGGAUAACCCUCGGAAACGGGGGCUAAUACCGGAUAUUCACUGCUUCGCGCAUGUGGGGUGGUGGAAAGUUUUUCGGCUGGGGAUGGGCUCGCGGCCUAUCAGCUUGUUGGGUGGGGUGAUGGCCUACCAAGGCGACGACGGGUAGCCGGCCUGAGAGGGCGACCGGCCACACUGGGACUGAGACACCGGCCCAGACCUCCGUACGGGAGGCA
Molecule: ribosomal RNA, 235 nt
Filed under: uncultured bacterium
Lineage: Bacteria
Description: partial 16S ribosomal RNA
Rfam family: Bacterial small subunit ribosomal RNA
Source: RNAcentral